GUGUGUCCUCUCGGAGGGCCGCCUCAGCCUGGCCUGGAGCUGCAGGGUGGCUGCGAAAGUCAGAUAAAUCACCGUGCAAUACCAGACGUCAGCAGGGAGACUCCUCCACUGAUCCAGUCGUCCGCCGUGAAGAUCAGGACACUUACAUAGGGCAAGGCCACGUUACACUGGUGACGGACACUGACAGCCUAGACCAUUAAACGCUUCAUCAACACACGGAGGAUAUCUGAAGGCGGACGUCAACAACAUGAACAGAGUAAUAGCUCUAAGGAAAGUCAUGGAAACCUUCAGGAGACCUAGGUUAAGAUACCUACCGUAUAUUUCCAAAUAAA
This is a long non-coding RNA of Oncorhynchus nerka (sockeye salmon), 332 nucleotides long. RefSeq lists it as uncharacterized. Lineage: Eukaryota; Metazoa; Chordata; Actinopteri; Salmoniformes; Salmonidae. The record is from RefSeq and is a predicted model, not a curated record. The transcript is spliced from 3 exons.